UGCAUAUCAAAAAAGCGGAGGAAAAGAAACCAACAGGGAUUGCCCCAGUAACGGCGAGUGAAGCGGCAACAGCUCAAAUUUGAAAUCUGGUCCCCUUGCGGGGCCCGAGUUGUAAUUUGAAGAGGAUGCUUCUGGCAAGGUGCCUUCCGAGUUCCCUGGAACGGGACGCCGCAGAGGGUGAGAGCCCCGUACGGUAGGACGCCGAGCCUCUGUGAAGCUCCUUCGACGAGUCGAGUAGUUUGGGAAUGCUGCUCAAAAUGGGAGGUAAACCCCUUCUAAAGCUAAAUACCGGCCAGAGACCGAUAGCGCACAAGUAGAGUGAUCGAAAGAUGAAAAGCACUUUGAAAAGAGAGUUAAAAAGCACGUGAAAUUGUUGAAAGGGAAGCGCUUGCGACCAGACUCGCGCCCGUCGGAUCAGCCGUCGCUUGUCGGCGGCGCACUCCGGCGUGGCUCGGGCCAGCAUCAGUUCGCCUCGGGGGGAGAAAGGCGGCAGGAAUGUGGCUCCUCGGAGUGUUAUAGCCUGCCGUGUAAUACCCCCGGGCGGACUGAGGACCGCGCGUAUGCCAAAGGG
This 571-nucleotide ribosomal RNA is filed under the name Scopulariopsis sp. I12F-02300. Its description in RNAcentral is "eukaryotic LSU rRNA". It matches the Rfam family "Eukaryotic large subunit ribosomal RNA", at positions 37 to 520 of the family's 3401-position model. The record is from RNAcentral. Lineage: Eukaryota; Fungi; Ascomycota; Sordariomycetes; Microascales; Microascaceae.